CGUGUACAAGAGGCUUAUUUAAAGGGGAAAUAUGAACCGGUGGGAUUUAGAACAGGUGCACAGUUCAAGCUCAGAGACUAAUUUCAUACUGUAGUGUGUAACACUCAAGAAUGAUGAAGAUGCUGCUUGUGAGUCUGGCUCUUGUCCUUCUACUGACCAGUGGUUCUGCCCUUCAAUGCCACAAGUGUUUCAUGGGAAAAUGUACUAUUCAAACCUGCAGCACUGGUCAAGACACCUGCAUCGCCGCAAGGAUGGCAACCGGUUUAGCUUUAUUCGUUCAAAAGAAAUGUGGAACUCGGGCUGAGUGUUUGAAGUACCAGAAAGCCGUAUGCUGUGGUUCGGAUCUUUG
This is a long non-coding RNA of Ictalurus furcatus (blue catfish), 349 nucleotides long. RefSeq lists it as uncharacterized. The record is from RefSeq and is a predicted model, not a curated record. The transcript is spliced from 4 exons. Lineage: Eukaryota; Metazoa; Chordata; Actinopteri; Siluriformes; Ictaluridae.